UACAGAGGCCUCAAGCGUUGUUCGGAAUUACUGGGCGUAAAGAGAAUGUAGGUGGUGAUGUAAGUCAGAUGUGAAAGCCCUGGGCUCAACCCGGGAAAUGCAUUUGAUACUGCGUUGCUAGAGUGUGGAAGAGGAGAGUGGAAUUCCCGGUGUAGGAGUGAAAUCCGUAGAUAUCGGGAGGAAUUCCGAUGGCGAAGGCAACUCUCUGGUCCAUUACUGACACUGAGAUUCGAAAGUAUGGGUAGCAAACAGG
Molecule: ribosomal RNA, 253 nt
Filed under: uncultured bacterium
Lineage: Bacteria
Description: partial 16S ribosomal RNA
Rfam family: Bacterial small subunit ribosomal RNA
Source: RNAcentral